This is a long non-coding RNA of Grus americana (Whooping crane), 1298 nucleotides long. RefSeq lists it as uncharacterized. Lineage: Eukaryota; Metazoa; Chordata; Aves; Gruiformes; Gruidae. The transcript has 5 exons. The record is from RefSeq and is a predicted model, not a curated record.
UGAGGACGUGGUUGCCCGUCCCUCCCUUGGGGAUGCCGUCGACUGCACCCGCCUCGCCUGUGCCUGGCCUGGCUCGCCUCGUGGCGUGGGGGCGAAAAGGGACAGGCGGCGGAGCGCUUACCGGCCGUGGACAGGAGCUGCCCUAAGGGAAGCUGGAAUGGCCAGAGAAAGGUGAAGAAGAAGAAGAAGAAGAGAUGGAAGGCUCUCCGGCCGGCAGCUGCCUCCCGCUGCAGGCAAGAGAGCGCCUGCCUCGCCGGGCGGAGGACAGCCGAGCGACCGGAGUGACAGCAAAGGAAAGGCGGAGAGCAGGAGAAAGAAGCGUCUGCGCUGGCAAGCUCUCCCGGCAGCGCCGAGAGCCAGAGCUGCGGUGCUGCUGCGCCGAUGCUCCGUACGUUCGCAGUAACGGGUAGAGCGGAAGGCUCCGUGGCCAGGGAAGAGCGGCACGGACACGUUCCUGCUCGCUCCGUUGCACCGGAAUUUCGACGGCUGGGUUCGGCCGCUAAAUUGAUGGCGCUACCGGAAGAAAUUUCAGAAAAAAAGGGUGGCUUUUUCGUCGAUCUCUUUGUGAGAGUAUCAAAUCAGGCGGCGGUAAAUACGUAGAAGCAACUAGGCGUACUACGGCGUGUACCGGACAGCGUUGGCGUGCCGCUCUGCUAGCAGCGGAGAGCCAGAUGAGGAUGCCCGUGAUAUGAGAAAAGCUCUGUCCAGAGAUAUGGAGACGAAAUCAGUUGUACCUCACCCUGUGACACCGGAAGACAUUGAGUAACUGUAAGCUGUGAUGCUCAGUGAAAUUACUAAGAGCGUUAAGUUUCCCGUGCCUUUGCUUUCACUCUCCCAUUCUCUUGUCUUGCGGCACGUCGCAUUUUUUGAGGCCGUGGAAGCGACACCGGGAGCGAUGGGUUGUCAGAACCAGGUCCUCCUGCCCGUCGCUGGGUUUGCUUACCUUCGCCGUCUCUGUGUACCAGCCUGCAUCUCUCUCUCUGUUCCUCAAUCCCUGUCCUCUCUUCUCUGUUCUGCUUUGUUUCGCUGCGUAUGUCCCGGUCCCUGUCCCACCUUUAUCCUUCCUUCCUUCUUCCUCGCCUUUUUCUUUGUCCUUUUGUCCUGCUCCCCGACCCUGUUUCUCGCUCCAUCUGACCGUCCUUUUCCUGGCACCUUUGUGUCUCUGCUCCUUGCCCCCGUCUUUCUCUCCCCUCUGCCCAGUCCUCGUCUCCCUCUUUUGUCUCUCUGUCCCUCUGUCCUCCUUCUGCCUCUGCCCCUCUGUCCUGCUCCCUGCCCCUCUUGUUCUCACUCUGCCCCAG